AGGGUCAGCGAUGCCCAGGCUGAAAGCCAGGAACCAAUGCAGAAUUCUCCAUCAGGAUGGGCCUUGUGUCGAGGGCAAGCAUUUGUAUCCCGUUUAUCAAGACAUCCAUUACGAAGUCCCUCGCAUUUAAAAAAAAAGAAAAAGAAAAGAAAAGAAAAGAAAGUAAAAGAAACAAAUGAUUGAAAUAAAAUUUGAAGAAAAUGUUUAUAAACGAAGAAGGAGAGAGCUGCCUGGAGUCUGUAGUUUUCGAUGUCAGAUUCCUGCCCGAAUGUAUCCUGCACCCACAGAGGCACAUAAUCUUAUAAAGAAAAGUUCCCUAAAUGUCACGGGCAGCCCCGAGAUGUCUCAAUCUCGCCGGAUGCAGACGGGAAGCCGGCCUUUUCCCAGGCGAACCGGCUCUUGCAAAUAAGGCAUCAGCCGCUCUUCGCGGGAUGGACGCCGCCACGGCUUGUGGG
Long non-coding RNA from Myotis myotis, 455 nucleotides. RefSeq lists it as uncharacterized. The transcript is spliced from 3 exons. The record is from RefSeq and is a predicted model, not a curated record. NCBI's taxonomy places the organism in Eukaryota, Metazoa, Chordata, Mammalia, Chiroptera, Vespertilionidae.